RNAcentral lists this small RNA (138 nucleotides) under Arabidopsis thaliana (thale cress). RNAcentral describes it as "ATSL012050". Lineage: Eukaryota; Viridiplantae; Streptophyta; Magnoliopsida; Brassicales; Brassicaceae. The record is from RNAcentral.
UGCUUCUCAUAUCUUUCAUCUCCUUACUCUUUAAUGGAAGGUAUCCUGUUUUUAACGUUUUUGUCUAGUCGUUUCAUUAAUUGGGUGGUGGGUGUUAUGAUUUUCGCCAUGUCUUCUACUGUUUCUCUCUUUCCAAAU